GGGUCGGAUCAUACAAGCAUUAAUGCACCGGAUCCCAUCAGAACUCUAUAGUUAAGUGCGCUUGGGCUAGAGUAGUACUGAGAUGGCUGACCUCCUGGGAAGUCCUAGUGUUACACCCU
Molecule: non-coding RNA, 119 nt
Organism: Picea glauca (white spruce)
Lineage: Eukaryota; Viridiplantae; Streptophyta; Pinopsida; Pinales; Pinaceae
Source: Rfam